RNAcentral lists this unclassified non-coding RNA (221 nucleotides) under Ustilentyloma graminis. Its description in RNAcentral is "partial internal transcribed spacer 2". Lineage: Eukaryota; Fungi; Basidiomycota; Microbotryomycetes; Microbotryales; Ustilentylomataceae. The record is from RNAcentral.
ACUCUUCAAAUCCUUCAUUUAUUUUUUUAUGAAUUAAGUUUGAUUUGGUUUUUGAAUAUUGUUGGAGGAGUAAUCCUCGAAACUUAUUCGUAAUACAUUAGCCUUCCCAUUUCGAGAUCAGAUUGACUCGGCGUAAUAGAUUAUUCGCUGAGGAUUAUAGAACUUCUAUAAGCUGAACUUGUAAAUAUUUAGAAAGCUUCUAAUCACAUUAAAUUCUAAGA